Suricata suricatta (meerkat) is the source of this 819-nucleotide long non-coding RNA. RefSeq lists it as uncharacterized. The transcript has 3 exons. The record is from RefSeq and is a predicted model, not a curated record. NCBI's taxonomy places the organism in Eukaryota, Metazoa, Chordata, Mammalia, Carnivora, Herpestidae.
GUCCGGGCAGGCCCCUGCCAGGACUCCUUGCUUCCCCAUUUAUGAGCAUUCGAGACCCGCACCGUUCUCAGGUGCCCUCCAACCCCACUUGCGGCCUCACCUUUGGUCCCUCUCCUGCAGCACAUCUGAGCCACACCAGGUGUGGGAGGAAGUCAGGCCCAUCGGCCCAGGCAGGCUGACGGCGGAGGAGGCCCUCGGCCCGGCCACAGGCCUGCCGCCUGCACCCCCAGGACAUAGGAACCAUCUGCUGCACCAGCUCCUUUGGCCCCCUGACAAGGCCACAACGCGAGCCGUUGCUGCACCAAUGAGGGCUGGACGCCCCUGGAGCCUGGCCCCUGCCCCGCUGCCUGUGGCUUGAAUGACAAGGCGUCAGAUUCGGAUGAGGGAACAGGAAGGGGACUUUCACGAGGAUGACACACAGCAGCAAACGCUGAAGCAGCCCUCUGCCCCCCAGCUGGGCCACCCCACCGCCUCACGGGAGCCUUCUUCCAGCUCUGGAGGGACAGGGAGGGUAGAUAGCAUCUUCCUAGCUCAUGCAGAGGGGAAACUGAGGCGCAGAGCCUUAGUGGCCAAUCAGGGACAGGGACGGGUCCUCAGUCCCAGGACAGGUAUGCACCCUGGAGCAGGUGAACGUGAGUGGUCGCUGUAUGGAUGUGGGCCCCAGUGCCACGCGGGGAUACCGAUGGGAAGUGAGAGGAUCACUGGAGGGCUCAGCUAGGAGCCCCCUCACUGCUCUGGUGUGGGGACACCCGUAUGUAUGUGUGUGUGUCUGCUGUGACAUUUGCCCCACUCCCGGGCACCCUUCUCAGAGCUUUUACU